This is an RNA transcript of Juglans microcarpa x Juglans regia, 1230 nucleotides long. RefSeq lists it as uncharacterized. The transcript has 6 exons. The record is from RefSeq and is a predicted model, not a curated record. Lineage: Eukaryota; Viridiplantae; Streptophyta; Magnoliopsida; Fagales; Juglandaceae.
CAUCUUGUGGGCUGAAUGGGGCCGUCACACAGAGAUGACUCGCCUCAGGUUGAGGGUAGGUUCCUACUUUGGCGGGGAACAACCUCCCUUUCUACUGUCGCCUCGCCACCACUUCCAGUAUGGAGACAAUGCGUGGCACGUGUCCGUCCCAUUAUUUCUAAUCGUGCGGUCAAAAGCCGCCCAAAAAGGCAGAACGUCUACUAUCCCCGAGACGACGUAGUUUUCCUCCACAUCCAAAAAUUAAAAUAUAAGUCCUACGGCAACGACAGCGUUUCCAAGUUCAUCGGUCUCUCUAGCAUAAACAGUUCCAGAGGCCACUUAUCGCCAGACAUCGCUGCUCACUCGGGUCUGCCCCCUCACAGUUCAGAGCCUCUCUUCGAUCUAAAGUCGCCCAGAAACAUGCUGGGGUCAUCUCGAAUCCCUUCCCACUCUCCCAAGAAGCAGCAACCGAAGCAAGAAAGAGAAUGGUUAGCAUUAAGCUUCAAGCCAGAGAACUUCAUCCCAGGCCUUGUCAUUGGUUUUAUAUUUGGGUUGUUGUUGGAUCUAUCCAAACCCUCCAAGAAUCAUGUAAAGAAGAAAAAUUUCUCUCCAGGAAAUCUCCAACAGAAAUAUGCGGUCUCAAAUAAUGGUGACCAAGAGCUCAAACUGGUUCUUGUAGUUAGACAAGAUCUGAAGAUGAAAUCAGGAAAGAUUGCGUCUCAAUGUGCUCAUGCUGCCACUGGCAUGUAUGCGGAACUAAUGCAAAGGUAUCCUUGCGCAGAUUAUGAGUCUCCUCCUUGUGCGGAGGAACCUGCAAUCUCGUUCCUCAUAGUAUUUUUUCAUGUGCCUGAAAUUUUUACACUUCAUGCUUUCGUCCUUUCUGCUAUUCAACAUUUUUCAACCUUGAAAAGUGAAUUUCUACCUACAACUGAUAUAUAUUUUGUCUUUCACCCUAUUUAGCCAUAUGCCUGAUAUAAAAUUUAGUUGCUUUGUAGAAUUGUUUAGAAUAUGUAAAAAACGGUGUGACUUGGGACAUAUAAGAAGAAUUAGUGCCUUUUCAACUCGUGGAAACCUUGCACAUAAUUUUCAGGUUUCUGGUCAUGAAUACAAUCACCGGUCCCUUUUGAGAGAAUGGGAACAAUGUGGUCAACCUAAAAUAGUUGUCACAUGCAAGAAUCAACAAGAAAUGAAUAAGCUGAAGGAUGCAGCUGAGAGCAUUGGCCUUCCAACUUUUGUAGUUGCUGAUGCUGG